Molecule: long non-coding RNA, 4883 nt
Organism: Pectinophora gossypiella (pink bollworm)
Lineage: Eukaryota; Metazoa; Arthropoda; Insecta; Lepidoptera; Gelechiidae
Exons: 3
Source: RefSeq, a predicted model, not a curated record
GAGGGUGCGGGGCCAGCCAGUCUGCCGGCAAACGCCGCGCGGCGCGCACGCCACGGCCCACGCUCCGCCACGCGGUCACACGCGACACACGCCGAGCGACUCACUACGGGAUUGUGACCGUUUAGUACCGGAAACAUAUGUGCGCACGGACCGCUUUCUCAAAGAUACUGUGACUAUCAGCAAUCCCGACGACGUCAGUGUUUGGAUAUGUUGUAAAAUGCUAAGAGACAAUGUAUCUGCGCUAGAGUGCUACACAGUGAGAGGCACAGAAUGUGACCAGAGAUCAGAGUGACGUGAUGCAACUAGUAAUGCUAAACUUCCUAAUCAUGUUCGACGUGGUGUUCGUAUUCUUUUUGUUCCUGAUAGCAGUGACGUGUGUCAUGAACUACAUGCCAGGGAAAAGUAAGAAGCAAGACGUCAUCGAGGAUGAAGUAGACGAUGACGUCAUCCCACCCCCUCCCCUCUUCGCCGGAGAUGACAAUGACCUCCCUUCGACCAGCCGAGACACAUACGUGGUCAUACCACCGCCGCUAGACAGCGUCAGAGCUAAAGACGGCUGUCCCAUCCACGUCGUCUAGUAUAAGUAUUGAUAUAAUCAACGUAGCAGUUUAUUACGAAGAAGCCUUAUGAGAUUGUAGGUGUCGAUAAAUUAAAAUGUAGAUUUUUUUUACCAAUUAGUCGAGUUUUAAUAUUUCUUGUUACGUAAAGACUAAAAUGGUGGAAAUUCGGGACUCAAGUGAAGGUAUGUAUUAUGAAGAUCUUGGCUAUUUUUAUCGGGAUGUUAUCGAUGUUAUCAACAGAAGUAAAUCUCUUUUUGCAGGUUUGCAAUUUAUCGACAAACGCUAAUGGAAAUUGCGAUAUUGAUUUGUUACUAUAGACUUAAGUAGAUACACAUUAGGCUAAGCAAAUUGAUUGAAUAGUAGUUAGGAUCAUUUGUUGAGUCACUGCUAUCAAACGUCUUAUGGUUAGAUUGUUUAUAUUUAUUUAUCUGUUUACAUUUAAUUAAUUACAAUUUCUUUCUAGUCUCAAUAGUUACAUAGCUUUAUUUCGACAUUUACAUUGUUAUUAAAAGGUUCUUGAUUUGUUAGUGUUUUAAGCCCCGUAUCUCUAAGGUACUUACCGUUAUUUGAAUUUAAGUAAAGUGUUCAAACGCUACAGAUAUUUGCAAGUGCUUGUUUAAGAUGAAUGUGACUGAAUAAUAGUUAAAAUAGUUUAAUAUUAUAGAAGUUACGAUAUUAUAGUAAUACAGUUGGUUUUGUUCUUUUGUGAUAUUUGAUUUUCAAAAAGUAUAAAACAUUUUUAAAAUAUAAGUUUAGGUUAAGUUUUUUUUUGUAAGUUUUCAAAACUAUUAUUUUCAUUUAUGAUUUAAGUAACUUUAGUGACAUUGACACUCAUAUUCCCGAAUUUACCUAAAAUAUAAUUAUCACGAUCGGUUGUUAGACGUUAGCAUAAUAAUUAAAAGACACAAAAUACAAAUUUUCAUGUAGUGAGGCCAACUCCACGUAGUAACACAAAAUAUACCACAAAACUGUAUUCUUUUACAUUAUAAAUCAAAAUUAAAUCGUAAAGCACAUCUCCUUAUGGCUAUUGCACAUGUCAAGAACACAUACCUUGUUAUAUUUAUUAAGUUAUCGCUAAAACAUCACUAUUGAAACACUAAUCCAUUAAUAUAUAGAAUGUAUGGGAUGAAGAAUAGUACAGUCAUGAGCAAAAUCAUGUAUUCACUUUAGAACUCUAUCGCUUAUAUUUACAUUUAGUGAGACUUAGAUCAAUUUAUCAAAAAGGUUAAUGUGACGAAGUAGGUGCUAAAGUGUAUACAUUAAUAUUAAUGCUCAUGACUGAACGUAUAAUAAAAUGACAGUUCAGAUAUGAACAGUUCUUCGCUCAGUGAUCGCAAAAUAUAAACAAAUGACUGUAAAGGCUCUGAGGACACAUUUUUUUUUCUAUCUGAUGUAUUUUAAUUCUGACGUUCUAUUGUCCCCUUUUCCAUACAAACAUUAAGCUUUGAUAAUAUUCAAAUAAUAUAUCCAUCGACCAACAUUCACUUUAUGCUGAUUUAAAUAAUUAAAUAUUACUUUUUCUCUCAUCGUCAUACGCAUGUUUUCGACAGUUACAUACUCUAUCAUAGUUCUAUGAACGCUGUAAGUACGUAAUAUUUUGCAACCUGCAAGCUUACCUCUAUAGAGACCAAUAUCGGUGAUUAUUCAUACUAAUCGGCUUUGAGCACAGAUGCCGAGACUUGGCUAUUUAUAACGUAGAAUUAGAUAUCUAAUUUGUUAGAGUUCGUAAUGUUUAUUUUAUUAUUUAAUUAUUAUUAGAUUAUAUAACUUAAUAACAGACGGAAUAAAGUCGUGAAUCUGUGUCACGACUUUAUCAUUUUUAAUUUGGAACUGGCAUAUUAUUUCAUUUGUUUUUAUUUUGAUUUCUUCUUUUUCGAACGGGAACGUUUUCCCGCCUUUUUAAAAGGCGGUGACGUGGAAUUUUGUUCGGUUGCGGUAAUCUGUUAUGAAGAGUUGGAGAGUUAACAUUGUUUAUGAAAAUAUAACAUUAUUCAAGAGAAUUGCUGAAUUUUUUGAUUACGACGAGCACCUCCCCACCUGAGAGCCGUAGUAUUGUCACAAAUUCAACAAACGCUGAACGAAAAUUUGCGCGCAUUCUCGAAUGCAGGGGAUAUGAUAAGGCGACUUUGAACCAAUUUGUAUAAAAGCAAUCUUGCAAUUUGCAUUGACAUUUGACAUGAACUAUUAAAUAGCAAUAUUGCUUUUUCUAGUGAAUUGUUUCAAUGUGGCCUUUUUGAUCCCCCGGGUGUGUAAUUCUCUAUGCCACUAUUGUAUGAUUAUUAAAAAACAUUACAAAAUAGACUUAGAUGAAAUAUUCGGUCUACACGCUUAGAUCGAUGAGCCUUGUAUGGAGAGUAUAGUCAUCAUUGCUUGGGCCACGAGCAUAUAACUGAAUUUGCUUUAAGGAAAUCACAUCUAAUCGGUAUCGAUAGUACUUUUAUGUAUCUGUGCCCUAUGUCGAUUGGUAUGAAAAGUACCUCAAUGGAGCUGCUAUAAAUUAUACCAUCACCUGUUAAAGUAAUUUAAAUUCCACUUUUUCUGUAUCUUAAUAAGGCUAAUAUUGAGAAGCAUAUUAUACUGAAGCAGCUAUUACGGCUAUAUACACUAGAUUUAAGACCUAAUAUAAUAAAAGGACAAUACAUGUAUUACGAAAGGAUAUAUCAUAAUUCUGCUCGAUUCUACGAAAAGACCAAGUUUCUGACUUGGGUGGUGUUCGCCGGGAAUUUCAUUAGAUAUCUUGUAAACAGUCGCGUCGGCGUCUUUUAGGGUUUUUCCCUGUAAUAUCAUCCAAAAUCGUUAGACAGAGAUAUGCAAACGGAAAUCUAGAGCUUUAGGAAUGUAAUAAGUGUCUAUUUAAACCAACUCGCGACGUGUUAUCCGAGAUGCGGUUUAAAUUUGUGGAUAAAGAAGAAUUUUGUCAAUGAAAGUACGAGAUAUUGCUGUCGGUUUUUGCGUAUUUUAAAUCUGGCAGUCGCAGAUAAAUAUAACAAUGUUAUAAUUAGUGACGUAAUUUCAAUCACAUAAUUGAAUUUAAAGUAUACGAGCUCAAUAAAAAUAUGCAAUUUUAAAUUUAACAAAGAACAAGAAGAUAAAAAAGCGGAACUUGCUUGAGUAGUGAAAAAACAAGAAGAAAACAAAUAAAACAGAAACAAUGACAAUAAAACACGGCGCAACAUUAGCUAAAGUAAUUAACACCAGGUCAAUCUAAUGCAAGGGAGUCUUAUUAGUCGCAAGGAAAAAUAAACUAAAUAAUACAACAAAUCUUGACGCUUUUCUAGAAUCGUGUAAAUUACCUUAUACAUUGUGAUAUGAAAUGAAGCAAAUAUGAGAAAAGACGAUAAACUUUAUAAAAGUGUAAACUUAUGCAAAUCAAUGAAAAUUACUAGCUGACGAUGGAAUCUUUUGUGAAAUACCAAAAGGCUCCCAAAAUUUCAUUUUUUUGACGGUCAUAUACUUAACAAUUAUGCUUGUGCAAAAGAGUUGAUAUUAUAAAUUGCUCCUUUCAUUCACACUGUGUAAAGUAAAACAGCAGAAGAAAUAGAUCCUUGUUUCUUACAAAUGAUAGCAUAGCAUCAAUCGAGUUUCUAUGAGAUAAUUGUUGUGACUGAUUAUAAUGAAUGUGAAGUUUAGUGCUGUACAACAUGGAUAAAUAAUUAUAGUUCUGAGAUGUGGUAAUAAUGUUCAGGCUUCUACAACAUUGUGUUUUAAAAUACUGAAUAGACUACGAAAAAAUAUAUAGCAUCAAAUUGAAAUAAAUUAGCUACCUAAAAUAUAACUAUUUUAAGUUGCCUUUAGCCCGAAACUUUUAGAUAAUUAACAUACGUUUCACAAUUAUCUACUAUUUUAUUUAAAAGGCUGAAAUUAAACUGACAAGAGACAGGCGCAAGUGUAUAAUUCCCUAAAUUAGACUAUAAUUACGAAGUCCCUUUCAAUAGAGGUACAGUUAACACGUUCUCAAUUAAGCAUGUAUAUGUUUAUGUUGGCUGCUUAAUAAUAUAUAUUUUUGUAGUCUAUUGUAUUUUAGUAUGUUGCAAUAAGUCCUUGGUCAUCAGUGUAUCAACUUAAUAUUGAUAUCAUGUAGCGAAUAAUUUGGAUAGAAAAUAUCAAGUUAAAAGAAAAUUUUAAAAACGACACAGUUAAAAAUGUUAAUUUAAUAUCAAGAUAAAAAUACACUUGUGAUAUAUAUACACAAUUUUUAAAGCGUAGAUAUAGAUAAUUGAAAUACAUUGUUUUGAAAUUAUUGUUAUACGAGGUGUCACUAAAAGCGCGAACAAUAUAACGAUUAUAAUUAAUAAAAUGCACUAACGCAUUGUCGUCAUAUCA